Molecule: ribosomal RNA, 429 nt
Filed under: Actinomycetes bacterium
Lineage: Bacteria; Bacillati; Actinomycetota; Actinomycetes
Description: Actinobacteria bacterium partial 16S ribosomal RNA
Rfam family: Bacterial small subunit ribosomal RNA
Source: RNAcentral
UAGGGAAUCUUCCGCAAUGGGCGAAAGCCUGACGGAGCAACGCCGCGUGAGUGAUGAAGGUCUUCGGAUCGUAAAACUCUGUUAUUAGGGAAGAACAAAUGUGUAAGUAACUAUGCACGUCUUGACGGUACCUAAUCAGAAAGCCACGGCUAACUACGUGCCAGCAGCCGCGGUAAUACGUAGGUGGCAAGCGUUAUCCGGAAUUAUUGGGCGUAAAGCGCGCGUAGGCAGUUUUUUAAGUCUGAUGUGAAAGCCCACGGCUCAACCGUGGAGGGUCAUUGGAAACUGGAAAACUUGAGUGCAGAAGAGGAAAGUGGAAUUCCAUGUGUAGCGGUGAAAUGCGCAGAGAUAUGGAGGAACACCAGUGGCGAAGGCGACUUUCUGGUCUGUAACUGACGCUGAUGUGCGAAAGCGUGGGGAUCAAACAGG